This is a long non-coding RNA of Pteronotus mesoamericanus, 293 nucleotides long. RefSeq lists it as uncharacterized. The transcript is spliced from 3 exons. The record is from RefSeq and is a predicted model, not a curated record. Lineage: Eukaryota; Metazoa; Chordata; Mammalia; Chiroptera; Mormoopidae.
UUGGGUUUCAGGUCACGUGACGGCUGUUUUGUAGCUCCGGAAGAGAGCCGUGAAGUUUAGGUUGCCUGGAAGGAGCAAUGAUCGGGCCUACUUUUGUUGUUGUUGUUGUUGCUGCUGCUGCUGCUGGGGGCGGAGGGCGAGGAAGUUGUGGCCAAAGGAGCCAGAAGACAAAAGGACCAUUGCAAGGGGGAAAAAAACACCAAGAUUUGGGGGAAUGACCCACAGAGACGGAAGGUGUGUUAACUUGGGCGCUUCUUGGAUUCUACCCUGAGGAGGAGGCGCAUGGUGAGAGG